This 483-nucleotide ribosomal RNA is filed under the name uncultured bacterium. RNAcentral's name for it is "SSU rRNA". It matches the Rfam family "Bacterial small subunit ribosomal RNA", at positions 26 to 518 of the family's 1533-position model. The record is from RNAcentral.
AGGAUAAACGCUGGCGGCGUGCCUAACACAUGCAAGUCGAACGCGCUUACUAUCCGCGAGGAGGGUGAGCGAGUGGCGGACGGGUGAGGAACACGUGGGUGACCUACCUUUCAGUGAGGGAUACCGGCGAGAAAUUGCCGACAAGACCGCAUACGCUUCUCUUUUCAAGGGGAGAAGGAAAGCUUUUCGCAAGAGAGGCGCUGGGAGAUGGGCCUGCGGCCGAUUAGCUAGCUGGUGGGGUAAUGGCCUACCAGGGCGACGAUCGGUAGCUGGUCUGAGAGGACGAUCAGCCACACUGGGAUUGAGAACGGCCCAGACUCCUACGGGGGGCAGCAGUGAGGAAUUUUCGGCAAUGGGGGCAACCCUGACCGAGCAACGCCGCGUGCAGGACGACGGCCUUCGGGUUGUAAACUGCUUUUCUCUGGGACGAGCGAAGGACGGUACCAGAGGAAGAAGCCCGGCUAACUACGUGCCAGCAGCCGC